AAUAUAUUAAGAUUUCACUUGAAUUGCAAUAAACAACUAGCUAAUUACAAAUAACAUAUAGAACAAAUACAUUAAGAUUCAUAGAACAAAAAUAGAACAAAUAUAUUAAGAUUCUACUUGAAUUGCAAUAAACAAAAAAAAACAGAAAAAUAAAAUAAAUAUACUAAGAUUCAAGGCGGAUAAAGGAUGAAUGGAAAACUUAUCUCGCCGGCAAAAAUCACGCCUGACGCUGGAUUUGCUGCCUGAAAAGGAAAAAAAUUAAUUAUUUGGGGUUAAAAAAAAUCAUAUUUUGUUGCGAGAAAGGAAUGAGCUAGGGAGAGAAGGGGAGAGAGAGAUUCAUAUCACCGGAAAAUUGAUACCCAAACACGGUCGCCGGCGAUGGAGGAGAAAGAGAAGAAAAA
This 401-nucleotide long non-coding RNA is filed under the name Nicotiana tabacum (common tobacco). Its description in RNAcentral is "long non-coding RNA (NTAB_LNC010762)". Lineage: Eukaryota; Viridiplantae; Streptophyta; Magnoliopsida; Solanales; Solanaceae. The record is from RNAcentral.